RNAcentral lists this long non-coding RNA (215 nucleotides) under Elaeis guineensis (African oil palm). RNAcentral describes it as "long non-coding RNA (EGUI_LNC023391)". Lineage: Eukaryota; Viridiplantae; Streptophyta; Magnoliopsida; Arecales; Arecaceae. The record is from RNAcentral.
UGUCGUUCAUGGAGGCAUGCAUGAUGCAAUGAACCAUGGUACGAUCGUUGAGACUUAAAAUAAGUAUCUCGAACCUCUCCUCAGGCGUUAGAAGCAGGUUCUUUAGGUGAUGAAUUCGUUAUAACAUAAAGGAUCUGCUCAUGCUCCAGGACAAUCUUUAAUUUUCGAUACCAAUUAUCGAAAUUUGGUCCGGUAAGCUUCUCACUGUCCAACAG